RNAcentral lists this long non-coding RNA (772 nucleotides) under Homo sapiens (human). Its description in RNAcentral is "non-protein coding LINC01353:5". Lineage: Eukaryota; Metazoa; Chordata; Mammalia; Primates; Hominidae. The record is from RNAcentral.
CUUUUCAUAGACACUUACCGAAGGGCCACCAUGUGAUCAUCCUUCCCAGGCUGAGGGACACCAGAACUGGUUAACAUCUACAGGCCUGGCUCACCCAACCAAACAUACGGGAGGUGGGUGGAUGGAUAAACAAUGCCACUGUGACCGCUUACAAUGAGCGCCAGUUCGUUUAGAAGGCUGAUGUCAGGAAUUGGCUCAAGUCAUUCAUUCCCUCCUGGUGAUGCCGGGCAAAUGCAGAACCAGGGCAAAUGCAGAACCAGAGCAAAUGGAGCCAGCCUUUCUCGAAGGAUUUCUCAGUCUGUCAGACUGGGCUACAGAAAUGUGUGACGUGCCGGGAAGUGUCAGGGAAAGUGUGGCUCAGGAGUGACCUGGGUUGUAAUCUUAGCUCUACCAGUUCUUAACAACAUGUCCUUGGCAGGUUGCUUAAGCCUUGGCCUUUUGUUCAUCUGAUACAUGGAGAUGAUCAUAGAACAACCCAGAGAGUUGCUGGGAGGAGCAUACAGAUGAUGUGCUGUGCAAUGACUAGGUCCAGGCAGAUGCAACAUAAACAGUAGCUCUUGCUAUUACUGGACAGCUGGGUGACUUCCCUGUCUACAGAAGGCGUAUUUACAAUGGCCACUGUCUGCAAGCUGUUCUUCUUCACCCCGGUCAGCCCUGGGUCCUCUCACAAGCCCUUGCUAUUCCUCGAGCCCUUCUCUUAUCACAGUGUCUCUCCAGUCAGGCAGGUGUCAAAUAAUUCAUUGGGCUACAAUUUGAUUUAGUGACAUUCUUU